Danio rerio (zebrafish) is the source of this 524-nucleotide non-coding RNA. The record is from RefSeq and is a predicted model, not a curated record. Lineage: Eukaryota; Metazoa; Chordata; Actinopteri; Cypriniformes; Danionidae.
AAAGAAGCGAGAUCAUGCCAUGGCAGAAGAACAGCAUAUACUACUACGACAAAGAUCUCCUCAGGCUCGACUGGUGCAGUCGCUGUGUAAAAUGUUUUAAAUAGUUUUCCUUUUGUGUACCAUGACAAAAACCACAGCAUACAAGUUCAGAAUGACAUGAAGAUGAUCAAGCAGUGACCGAAUCUCAACUAUUCAUUUAACCUUCUGUCAUUCGAAUGUCUCACCACAGGAAAUUAUGUGCAAGAUUAUUCUGUUCCACCUGUGAGUGAAGCGGCUCCUCCAUCUUUAGCCCAUUACACCCAGUAAACGCCAUAGAUUUCCUCGCAUAGAUCUGGCCACAUCGCAUUAGCUUUAUGUUAGUCUGUAAGGUCUAUAGGCCAUUGGUUUCCGUUUGGCCUGAUCGCCGCUGACAGAGGAUCAGAGAACUGCUGGUGUGUGCGACUCUUUGGGAGCAUCGGAUAUCAGCUACAAUAAAUCCACAAUGACUUUGUUACUGACACAUAACAAAACACUCUGUUUAAUAA